AGUGAACGCUGGCGGUAGGCCUAACACAUGCAAGUCGAACGGCAGCACAGUAAGAUCUUGCUCUUACGGGUGGCGAGUGGCGGACGGGUGAGGAAUACAUCGGAAUCUACUUUUUCGUGGGGGAUAACGUAGGGAAACUUACGCUAAUACCGCAUACGACCUACGGGUGAAAGCAGGGGAUCUUCGGACCUUGCUCGAUUGAAUGAGCCGAUGUCGGAUUAGCUAGUUGGCGGGGUAAAGGCCCACCAAGGCGACGAUCCGUAGCUGGUCUGAGAGGAUGAUCAGCCACACUGGAACUGAGACACGGUCCAGACUCCUACGGGAGGCAGCAGUGGGGAAUAUUGGACAAUGGGCGCAAGCCUGAUCCAGCCAUACCGCGUGGGUGAAGAAGGCCUUCGGGUUGUAAAGCCCUUUUGUUGGGAAAGAAAAGCAGCAGGUUAAUACCCCGCUGUUCUGACGGUACCCAAAGAAUAAGCACCGGCUAACUUCGUG
RNAcentral lists this ribosomal RNA (492 nucleotides) under uncultured bacterium. RNAcentral's name for it is "partial 16S ribosomal RNA". It matches the Rfam family "Bacterial small subunit ribosomal RNA", at positions 29 to 507 of the family's 1533-position model. The record is from RNAcentral.